CGGACGGGUGAGUAACGCGUGAGCAAUCUGCCUUUAGGAGGGGGAUAACAGUCGGAAACGGCUGCUAAUACCGCAUAAUACGUUUGGGAGGCAUCUCUUGAACGUCAAAGAUUUUAUCGCCUUUAGAUGAGCUCGCGUCUGAUUAGCUGGUUGGCGGGGUAACGGCCCACCAAGGCGACGAUCAGUAGCCGGACUGAGAGGUUGAACGGCCACAUUGGGACUGAGACACGGCCCAG
RNAcentral lists this ribosomal RNA (236 nucleotides) under uncultured Bacillota bacterium. RNAcentral's name for it is "uncultured Firmicutes bacterium partial 16S ribosomal RNA". It matches the Rfam family "Bacterial small subunit ribosomal RNA", at positions 99 to 334 of the family's 1533-position model. The record is from RNAcentral. Lineage: Bacteria; Bacillati; Bacillota.